CAAAGAAGCCAUUGCCACAUUUGAAAUGCACAAAGAGGUCACUCUCUUGUGGGACAUCAAGAGUUAAAAUCUAGUUCUCUCCAUGAAGGCUGGCCAGAGAGCCAAGCAGCAGGAGCCCAUUUUCCUUUCAGUAAGUGGCCUAGACUCUCCUUUCUCCUCUCUCAAUGGCUAUGUGCACCCAGUGGAAUCGCACAGACGUGGGGUGUGAGCCGCACAAUAACAGACCCAGGAGAUAAAAGGAGCCUUGUGAGGAUGCAGAAUGGGGGUGGCUGUGUGUUUUCUAAAUAGGAAAUGUGAGGCUUUCACAGUGACAACAGGCUGGGGCCGUGGGGCCCUUUGAUCCCCGUGGGGAGUGAACUGUUGAGUACAGCCGCCUGCGCCCCCACCCUCCAGUGGGCCUGGGGCUCUGAGAGCCUUGCUGUGUUCCAUGCAGAGGAUUAGACCACCUCAAUCAGCCCCUUAGAAGCGAAGAAAGCAGGCCAGCCUCAAAAAUUUGUAAAGCGGCAGAAUGGUCACAGCGAGUUUUGUGACCAUAUUGUUUUCAAGAGCAAACCCACAAAGCCUUGGUUAGCUUCAUUUUAGAAGGUGGGAAAGAAAGGCUUCUCUGCUGGGUGGUGAAGCAGAAUGGUCAUUUUGUAACACCAGAUAAGACUUCAAACUCAAUUUUCGCUGUGUUGUUAGAAUUUGUCCUAGUGAGUACAUCUCAUGGUUGCGGGGGUUAUUUAGGAACUCAGAUCAAGGUGCGUAUUUUUUAUUUCAUAACUUCAUGAUCUAACCAUGGUUGUUUUUUUGCAAAAUGGCAUCUAGAGGAG
This 812-nucleotide long non-coding RNA is filed under the name Marmota monax (woodchuck). Lineage: Eukaryota; Metazoa; Chordata; Mammalia; Rodentia; Sciuridae. The record is from RNAcentral.